This 130-nucleotide ribosomal RNA is filed under the name uncultured bacterium. Its description in RNAcentral is "partial 16S ribosomal RNA". It matches the Rfam family "Bacterial small subunit ribosomal RNA", at positions 378 to 524 of the family's 1533-position model. The record is from RNAcentral.
GGCAUCUGAUGCAGCCACGCCGCGUGGAGGAUGACGCAUCUUCGGUGUGUAAACUCCUUUUAUAUGUCAAGAAAAUGACGGUAGCAUAUGAAUAAGCACCGGCUAACUCCGUGCCAGCAGCCGCGGUAAU